AUUGAACGCUGGCGGCAGGCCUAACACAUGCCAGUCGAGCGAAUGAAGGGAGCUUGCUCCUGGAUUCAGCGGCGGACGGGUGAGUAAUGCCUAGGAAUCUGCCUGGUAGUGGGGGAUAACGUCCGGAAACGGGCGCUAAUACCGCAUACGUCCUGAGGGAGAAAGUGGGGGAUCUUCGGACCUCACGCUAUCAGAUGAGCCUAGGUCGGAUUAGCUAGUUGGUGGGGUAAAGGCCUACCAAGGCGACGAUCCGUAACUGGUCUGAGAGGAUGAUCAGUCACACUGGAACUGAGACACGGUCCAGACUCCUACGGGAGGCAGCAGUGGGGAAUAUUGGACAAUGGGCGAAAGCCUGAUCCAGCCAUGCCGCGUGUGUGAAGAAGGUCUUCGGAUUGUAAAGCACUUUAAGUUGGGAGGAAGGGCAGUAAGUUAAUACCUUGCUGUUUUGACGUUACCAACAGAAUAAGCACCGGCUAACUUCGUG
RNAcentral lists this ribosomal RNA (484 nucleotides) under uncultured bacterium. Its description in RNAcentral is "partial 16S ribosomal RNA". It matches the Rfam family "Bacterial small subunit ribosomal RNA", at positions 30 to 507 of the family's 1533-position model. The record is from RNAcentral.